This is a long non-coding RNA of Dermacentor silvarum, 479 nucleotides long. RefSeq lists it as uncharacterized. Lineage: Eukaryota; Metazoa; Arthropoda; Arachnida; Ixodida; Ixodidae. The transcript is spliced from 3 exons. The record is from RefSeq and is a predicted model, not a curated record.
UUCACCUGUGCGUGCACUUCCGCUUUUCUGCUGAAGUUGCAUAAUAAUGGCUCAUCUGUCUCUUCACCGAUUCUUACUGCAAUUACGUUUUUUCGCUUAUAAACUGUUCGACGUUGUAAAUAAUCUCUGCUUACCAGGUUUUCGGUUUACGAGCAGUUUGAGGAGAAAACGAAAAUUGGUGAGACCGUGACCCUCUAGCAGUGUCCACAUAAUGGCAGGGAAAUGCAGGGAUCCCGCAGCCAUGGCUACAGCAGCACGGCGUGUAAUCUGGAUGUCAUGUCAGGGUACACGUGCACUCACUUCAAGACGACGACCCUCCACCUCAAAAACAGCCUCUCCUCAAAGACUAGCAGGGAGACUAAAUGAAAGGAAAAUACCACAUCCGUAACCAGACACAUACUAUGUGUUCCCUACAUUUAACCUCCUUCUCUCUUUAAGGAAGCGUGGUAUAUGCGCAAUAAAUGUUUUUAUCAACUUUU